UGAAUGGCUUGACGAGAAAUCAACUGUCUCUUAAUAAUUUUUAAAAUUUAACUUUUGAGUCAAAAGGCUUAAAUUUUUCUUUAGGACGAGAAGACCCUAUAGAGCUUAACAUUUUAUUUUUAUAUAGUUUUUAGUUGAUCUUUCUAUAUUUAAUGAUAAUGUUUUGUUGGGGUGACAUGAAGAAUAAUUAAACUCUUCAUUAUAGAAUCAUUGAUUUAUGUUUAUCAUGAUCCAUAAUUUAUGAUCAUAAGAUUAAGUUACCUUAGGGAUAACAGCGUAAUUGUUUUCGAGAGCUCAUAUCGACAAAGCAGAUUGCGACCUC
RNAcentral lists this ribosomal RNA (322 nucleotides) under Calliptamus barbarus. Its description in RNAcentral is "partial 16S ribosomal RNA". It matches the Rfam family "Bacterial large subunit ribosomal RNA", at positions 1993 to 2527 of the family's 2925-position model. Lineage: Eukaryota; Metazoa; Arthropoda; Insecta; Orthoptera; Acrididae. The record is from RNAcentral.